RNAcentral lists this ribosomal RNA (363 nucleotides) under Triticum aestivum (bread wheat). RNAcentral describes it as "partial small subunit ribosomal RNA". The record is from RNAcentral. Lineage: Eukaryota; Viridiplantae; Streptophyta; Magnoliopsida; Poales; Poaceae.
AUGGAGGACGACGCGCGGCUCCGGGUGCUCGCCGUCGUCGGGUUCGGUGGGCUCGGCAAGACCACGCUGGCGAGGAUGGUGUGCGAGAACCCACGGGUGAAGAGCGCUGACUUUCAGUGCUCCCCGUUGCUCAUCGUGUCGCAGACGCUAAACGUCAGGGCGCUGUUCCUGCACAUGCUCAGGGAACUGACCCAGCGGCCGCGCCUGGCUGCCGGCGACGAUACCAUGGAUGAUAGCUUGCACGGGGCGGAGAGCUGGGAAACGGCGCUGCUGGCCAACAAGCUCAAACUUUACCUGCAAGACAAAAGGUACGUACAUCCGCAUCAGUGGACCGAGACCAAGUCACGCACUAUUGGGCAUUAA